This 82-nucleotide transfer RNA is filed under the name Hygrophoropsis aurantiaca. Its description in RNAcentral is "tRNA-Gln". It matches the Rfam family "tRNA". From Rfam's summary of the family: Transfer RNA (tRNA) molecules are approximately 80 nucleotides in length. Their secondary structure includes four short double-helical elements and three loops (D, anti-codon, and T loops). The record is from RNAcentral. Lineage: Eukaryota; Fungi; Basidiomycota; Agaricomycetes; Boletales; Hygrophoropsidaceae.
GGCGUUAUAGUGUAGCGGUUAUCACUCGAGAUUCUGAAAACAUGAUCUUCUCGAAACCCAGGUUCGAUCCCUGGUAACGCCU